AGGAAAAGAAACUAACAAGGAUUCCCCUAGUAACUGCGAGUGAAGCGGGAAGAGCUCAAAUUUGAAAUCUGGCGGCUCUUUGACCGUCCGAGUUGUAAUCUAGAGAAGUGCUACCCGUGCUGGACUGUGUACAAGUCUCCUGGAAUGGGGCAUCGUAGAGGGUGAGAAUCCCGUCUUUGACACGGACUGCCAGUGCGCCCUGGGUGUGCUCUCGAAGAGUCGAGUUGUUUGGGAAUGCAGCUCAAAAUGGGUGGUAAAUGCCAUCUAAAGCUAAAUAUUGGCGAGAGACCGAUAGCGAACAAGUACCGUGAGGGAAAGAUGAAAAGAACUUUGGAAAGAGAGUUAAACAGUACGUGAAAUUGCUGAAAGGGAAACGCUUGGAGUCAGUCGCGUUGGCCAGAAAUCAGCCUUGCUCCUGCUUGGUGUACUUUCUGGUCUUUUACGGGUCAGCAUCAAUCUUGACCGCCGGACAAAGUCUUUGGGAAUGUGGCAUCUUUUGGAUGUGUUAUAGCCCAGGGUCGCAUACGGCGGCUGGGAUUGAGGAACUCAGCACGCCCGCAAGGGAUGGGUCCUUGGACCACAAAUUUUUUCGUGCUUAGGAUGCUGGCAUAAUGGCUUCAAUCGACCCG
Molecule: ribosomal RNA, 629 nt
Filed under: uncultured Cortinariaceae
Lineage: Eukaryota; Fungi; Basidiomycota; Agaricomycetes; Agaricales; Cortinariaceae
Description: eukaryotic LSU rRNA
Rfam family: Eukaryotic large subunit ribosomal RNA
Source: RNAcentral